GAUGAAGAACGCAGCGAAAUGCGACAACUAAUGUGAAUUGCAGAAUUCAGUGAAUCAUCGAGUCUUUGAACGCACAUUGCGCCCCCUGGUAUUCCGGGGGGCAUGCCUGUCCGAGCGUCAUUGCUGCCCUCAAGCACGGCUUGUGUGUUGGGCCUCCGUCCUCCUCCCGGGGGACGGGCCCGAAAGGCAGCGGCGGCACCGCGUCCGGUCCUCGAGCGUAUGGGGCUUCGUCACCCGCUCUUGUAGGCCCGGCCGGCGCUUGCCGACACAUCAAUCUUUUUUCCAGGUUGACCUCGGAUCAGGUAGGGAUACCCGCUGAACUUAAGCAUAUCAAUAAGCGGAGGA
Molecule: unclassified non-coding RNA, 345 nt
Filed under: soil metagenome
Description: partial contains 5.8S ribosomal RNA, internal transcribed spacer 2, and large subunit ribosomal RNA
Rfam family: 5.8S ribosomal RNA (bases 1-120)
Source: RNAcentral